UACGUAGGGUGCGAGCGUUAAUCGGAAUUACUGGGCGUAAAGGGUGCGCAGGCGGCGUCGCAAGUCAGGCGUGAAAUCCCCGGGCUCAACCUGGGAACUGCAUUGGUGACUGCAAGGCUUGAGUGUGUCAGAGGGAGGUGGAAUUCCGCGUGUAGCAGUGAAAUGCGUAGAUAUGCGGAGGAACACCGAUGGCGAAGGCAGCCUCCUGGGAUAACACUGACGCUCAUGCACGAAAGCGUGGGGAGCAAACAGG
RNAcentral lists this ribosomal RNA (253 nucleotides) under uncultured bacterium. Its description in RNAcentral is "partial 16S ribosomal RNA". It matches the Rfam family "Bacterial small subunit ribosomal RNA", at positions 524 to 776 of the family's 1533-position model. The record is from RNAcentral.